Molecule: ribosomal RNA, 903 nt
Filed under: uncultured Methanohalophilus sp.
Lineage: Archaea; Methanobacteriati; Methanobacteriota; Methanomicrobia; Methanosarcinales; Methanosarcinaceae
Description: bacterial SSU rRNA
Rfam family: Archaeal small subunit ribosomal RNA
Source: RNAcentral
AGGUUACUGCUAUCGGUGUUCGAUUAAGCCAUGCGAGUUAAAUGUUCUUCGUGAACAUAGCGAACUGCUCAGUAACACGUGGACAAUCUGCCCUUGGGUUCGGGAUAACUCCGGGAAACUGGAGAUAAUACCGAAUAAGCCAUUGAAGCUGGAAUGCUCUUUGGUUCAAAGUUCCGGCGCCCAAGGAUGAGUCUGCGGCCUAUCAGGUUGUAGUGGGUGUAACGUACCUACUAGCCGACGACGGGUACGGGUUGUGAGAGCAAGAGCCCGGAGAUGGAUUCUGAGACAUGAAUCCAGGCCCUACGGGGCGCAGCAGGCGCGAAAACUUUACAAUGCGGGAAACCGCGAUAAGGGGACACCGAGUGCCAGCAUACUAUGUUGGCUGUCCACAUGUGUAAAUAGCAUGUGUUAGCAAGGGCCGGGCAAGACCGGUGCCAGCCGCCGCGGUAACACCGGCGGCCCGAGUGGUAAUCACUAUUAUUGGGUCUAAAGGGUCCGUAGCCGGUUUAAUCAGUCUUCCGGGAAAUCUGACAGCUCAACUGUUAGGCUUCCGGGGGAUACUGUUAGACUUGGGACCGGGAGAGGUAAGAGGUACUACAGGGGGUAGGAGUGAAAUCUUGUAAUCCCUGUGGGACCACCAGUGGCGAAGGCGUCUUACCAGAACGGGUCCGACGGUGAGGGACGAAAGCUGGGGGCACGAACCGGAUUAGAUACCCGGGUAGUCCCAGCCGUAAACGAUGCUCGCUAGGUGUCUGGAAUGGUGCGACCGUUUCAGGUGCCGCAGGGAAGCCGUGAAGCGAGCCACCUGGGAAGUACGGCCGCAAGGCUGAAACUUAAAGGAAUUGGCGGGGGAGCACCACAACAGGUGGAGCCUGCGGUUUAAUUGGAUUCAACGCCGGAAAU